This 497-nucleotide ribosomal RNA is filed under the name uncultured bacterium. RNAcentral describes it as "partial 16S ribosomal RNA". It matches the Rfam family "Bacterial small subunit ribosomal RNA", at positions 28 to 507 of the family's 1533-position model. The record is from RNAcentral.
GAUGAACGCUGGCGGCGUGCCUAAUACAUGCAAGUCGAGCGAACAGACGAGGAGCUUGCUCCUCUGACGUUAGCGGCGGACGGGUGAGUAACACGUGGAUAACCUACCUAUAAGACUGGGAUAACUUCGGGAAACCGGAGCUAAUACCGGAUAAUAUAUUGAACCGCAUGGUUCAAUAGUGAAAGACGGUUUUGCUGUCACUUAUAGAUGGAUCCGCGCCGCAUUAGCUAGUUGGUAAGGUAACGGCUUACCAAGGCGACGAUGCGUAGCCGACCUGAGAGGGUGAUCGGCCACACUGGAACUGAGACACGGUCCAGACUCCUACGGGAGGCAGCAGUAGGGAAUCUUCGGCAAUGGGCGAAAGCCUGACGGAGCAACGCCGCGUGAGUGAUGAAGGUCUUCGGAUCGUAAAACUCUGUUAUUAGGGAAGAACAAAUGUGUAAGUAACUAUGCACGUCUUGACGGUACCUAAUCAGAAAGCAACGGCUAACUACGUG